This 444-nucleotide ribosomal RNA is filed under the name Catopsilia pyranthe (mottled emigrant). RNAcentral describes it as "partial 16S ribosomal RNA". Lineage: Eukaryota; Metazoa; Arthropoda; Insecta; Lepidoptera; Pieridae. The record is from RNAcentral.
AUUUUAAAGGGCUGCAGUAUAUUGACUGUACAAAGGUAGCAUAAUCAAUAGUCUUUUAAUUGAAGACUUGUAUGAAUGAUUUGAUGAAAUAUAUACUGUCUCUUUUUUAAAAUUUAAAACUUAAUUUUUUAGUUAAAAAGCUAAAAUUUUUAUAAAAGACGAGAAGACCCUAUAGAGUUUUAUAAUUAUUUAUUUUUAUUUUAUAUAUAAAUAUUAAAAAUUAAAUAUAAAUAAUUAUUUUGUUGGGGUGAUAGAAAAAUUUAAUUAACUUUUUUUUAAAAUUUAACAUUAAUAUAUGAAUAUAUGAUCCAUGUUUUAUGAUUAAAAGAAUAAAUUACCUUAGGGAUAACAGCGUAAUUUUUUUUUUUAGUUCAUAUAAAAAAAAAAGUUUGCGACCCCGAUGUUGGAUUAAAAUAAAAUUUAAAUGCAAAAGUUUAAAAUUUU